GGUGAGGUAAUGGCCCACCAAACCUAUAACCGGUACGGGCUCUGAGAGGAGAAGCCCGGAGAUGGGCACUGAGACAAGGGCCCAGGCCCUAUGGGGCGCAGCAGGCGCGAAAACUCUGCAAUGGGCGAAAGCCUGACAGGGUUACUCUGAGUGAUUUCCGCUAAGGAGAUCUUUUGGCAGCUCUAAAAAUGGUGCAGAAUAAGGGGUGGGCAAGUCUGGUGUCAGCCGCCGCGGUAAUACCAGCACCCCGAGUGGUCGGGACGAUUAUUGGGCCUAAAGCAUCCGUAGCCGGUUGUGCAAGUCCUCCGUUAAAUCCAGCCGCUCAACGGAUGGGCUGCGGAGGAUUACUACAGAACGAGGAGGCGGGAGAGGCAAGCGGUACUUAGAGGGUAGGGGUAAAAUCCUUUGAUCCAUUGAAAGA
This 421-nucleotide ribosomal RNA is filed under the name uncultured archaeon. Its description in RNAcentral is "bacterial SSU rRNA". It matches the Rfam family "Archaeal small subunit ribosomal RNA", at positions 235 to 656 of the family's 1478-position model. The record is from RNAcentral.